CAGCAGCCGCGGUAAUACGAAGGGGGCUAGCGUUGUUCGGAUUUAUUGGGCGUAAAGGGUGCGUAGGCGGUUUGGCAAGUCUUGUGUGAAAUCUAUGGGCUCAACCCAUAGCCUGCACGAGAAACUACCGGGCUUGAGUGAUGGAGAGGUGAGUGGAAUUUCCGGUGUAGCGGUGAAAUGCGUAGAUAUCGGAAGGAACACCAACGGUGAAAGCACUCUGCUGGGCCGACACUGACACUGAGAGACGAAAGUUAGGGGAGAAAAUGGAAUUAGAUACCCGAGUAGUCCCUGUCUCUUAUAC
This 301-nucleotide ribosomal RNA is filed under the name uncultured bacterium. RNAcentral describes it as "partial 16S ribosomal RNA". It matches the Rfam family "Bacterial small subunit ribosomal RNA", at positions 509 to 808 of the family's 1533-position model. The record is from RNAcentral.